AUCUUUCGAAGUAGAUCUUUCCCUCGAGUUCUGUGACUUGCACUAAACGGCUUGGAUGGGGAAGGGCAAGCGAGUGAAUUUUCCUUUAGAGUGGCUCAAGAAGUGGAACUACUAAGACUCGCGAGGGUCAUCCUUUCAAUAAAGACUUUUGUUCUAUUUAUUUAUGAAAUAAAUUGGUUACACGAGGUCUUUUAAUUGAUAGUCUUUAUCACUUGCAUGUUGAUGCGAAUGUAAACCCAAACGA
Molecule: long non-coding RNA, 244 nt
Filed under: Elaeis guineensis (African oil palm)
Lineage: Eukaryota; Viridiplantae; Streptophyta; Magnoliopsida; Arecales; Arecaceae
Description: long non-coding RNA (EGUI_LNC033967)
Source: RNAcentral